RNAcentral lists this ribosomal RNA (418 nucleotides) under uncultured bacterium. Its description in RNAcentral is "partial 16S ribosomal RNA". It matches the Rfam family "Bacterial small subunit ribosomal RNA", at positions 361 to 776 of the family's 1533-position model. The record is from RNAcentral.
AUAUUGGUCAAUGGGCGCAAGCCUGAACCAGCCACGUCGCGUGAAGGAAGACGGCCCUACGGGUUGUAAACUUCUUUUGUAAGGGAAUAGAGUGUAGUAAGUGUCCUAUUUUGCAUGUACCUUACGAAUCAGUAUUGGCUAACUCCGUGCCAUCAGCUGCGGUCAUACGGAGGAUCCGUGCGUUACCCGGAUUUAUUGGGUUUAAAGGGUGCGCAGUCGGGAGAUUAAGUCGGCGGUGAAAUUUUGCAGCUCAACUGUAAAAGUGCCUUCGAAACUGGUUUCCUUGAGUGUGGAUGAAGUAGGCUGAAUUUGUGGUGUAGCGGUGAAAUGCAUAGAUAUCACGAGGAACUCCGAUUGCGCAGGCAGCUUACUAAGCCAUAACUGACGCUCAGGCACGAAGGCGUGGGGAUCAAACAGG